Molecule: transfer RNA, 66 nt
Filed under: Perlomyia isobeae
Lineage: Eukaryota; Metazoa; Arthropoda; Insecta; Plecoptera; Leuctridae
Description: tRNA-Asn
Source: RNAcentral
UUAAUUGAAGCCAAAAAUAGAGGCAUAUCACUGUUAAUGAUAUCAUUGGGUUAUACCCCAAUUAAG